This is an RNA transcript of Motacilla alba alba, 12769 nucleotides long. It is a transcript of the gene named KH RNA binding domain containing, signal transduction associated 2, with no coding region annotated. The transcript has 11 exons. The record is from RefSeq and is a predicted model, not a curated record. Lineage: Eukaryota; Metazoa; Chordata; Aves; Passeriformes; Motacillidae.
AUGGAGCAGGACAAGUACCUGCCCGAGCUGAUGGCCGAGAAGGACAGCCUGGAUCCCUGCUUUGUUCACGCGAUGCGCCUCCUGGAAGACGAAAUGGAAAAAUUUCAGGGUUCUGAAGGCAAGAAAGAAGAUGAAGAAAAGAAAUAUCUUGAUGUUAUCAGCAACAAAAACAUCAAGCUGUCAGAGAGAGUUCUGAUCCCUGUCAAACAAUAUCCAAAGUUCAAUUUUGUUGGGAAAUUGCUUGGACCAAGAGGAAACUCCUUAAAGAGGUUACAAGAAGAAACAGGUGCAAAAAUGUCCAUCCUGGGAAAAGGAUCCAUGAGGGAUAAAGCUAAGGAAGAAGAGCUAAGGAAAAGUGGAGAAGCCAAAUACGCACACUUGAGUGAUGAGCUCCACGUAUUAAUUGAAGUGUUUGCUCCACCUGGGGAGGCGUAUUCUCGUAUGAGUCAUGCCUUGGAAGAAAUUAAAAAAUUCCUGGUUCCUGAUUAUAAUGAUGAAAUUCGCCAGGAGCAGCUGAGAGAACUUUCGUAUUUGAACGGUUCUGAGGAUUCAUCACGUGGACGGGGCAUUCGAGGAAGAGGGAUCCGUGUGCCGCCUGCAGCUCCUUCAAGGGGCCGUGGGGGUGCCAUUCCUCCCCCGCUGCCUGGACGAGGUGCCCAAGCACCCCGAGGAGCGCCGGUGACACGCGGAGCGCUCCCUGUCCCACCGGUGGCCAGGGGCGUCCCCACCCCUCGAGCCAGGGGCGCCCCGUCCAUGCCGGGCUACAGACCGCCCCCGCCGCCCGCACACGAGGCCUAUGAAGACUAUGGAUACGAUGAUGGAUAUGGGGGUGAAUAUGAUGAUCCAAGCUAUGAGGCAUAUGAUAACAGUUAUGCCACCCAAACACAAAGUGUGCCUGAAUAUUAUGACUAUGGUCAUGGAACAAGUGAAGAGGCUUAUGACAGCUACGCACAAGAAGAAUGGGCCACGACCCGUUCCAGCCUAAAGGCACCACCUCCAAGGUCAGCCAGAGGGGGAUACAGGGAACACCCCUAUGGUAGAUAUUGAAGGUCCUCCUCAUCUGUGACCUCAUCUCAAAGACAAUUAAUAGCCUGUGGUCUCCACAUAAACAGCAACAAGACAAGGACUCACAGGCACUGGACAGCUAAGCAGCAGAUCUGCUGGGAAGUGGUCAGAUUUUUUGGAGCCUUAGGGAAGUACUGUACCUUUUGAAUGGUGUUCAGGGAAUUGAGAGUGCUCAACAUCGUUUGCAAUAAAUCACUUGCUUCUGAAGGACAGCCUCAGGUUGGGACUCUCCACAGCCCUGAGUUCUGGACCUACCAUUACCACCCUCUCUAGGAUAUGCCACCAUUCAGACUUACAGUGAUCUUCCAGUCUAUCAGGUGAGCUGUAGUAUUUUUCUAUAUGGUUUUAGUUUAUGUAAAAUGUGAGAUAAUUAGGUCACAUCAGUCUGCAAAAAAUAGAAUUAUUUUUAACUAGUUCAUAUAUUGUUUGCCAUUGUAAAAGAGCUUAUACAGAGAUGCCUAUGUGCUUGUUACUUUGAGACAGGACAGUUUGAUUAUGUAUCUAAAUUCUUACACUUUUUCUGUCAUCAAGAAAUACAACAGUUAAUUAAAAGGGUCACGCCAUUAGAGUUUAAGACAGAUACAAUUAUUUAAUUCAAUCUUAUAUCGAGAAUGAGUUAGUUCUUUUGGAGAAAAGGGUAGUAGGGGGUCCUGUGGUUAAAGGCUAUGUUCUCUUGUAUAUGCUAAAGAACAUUAUGUAAUUAUAUUGGAAAUUAUAAAUCUAAUAUUUCCUAAAUCCUUCAAGCUAAAUACUGCAUUGUAUUUUUCUGUAAUAGGCUUAUACACAUCCAUAUGUCAUAGAAAAGUACAGUUAUUGCAUUUAGUUAUUAGAAAUGAACUUGUUUCUUCAGCAAAGACCAUGUGAAACAAAAGACCAUUGUCACUUGCUGUUGGCAGCUAGUGCAUGCAGAAGGUUUCAGCUCACAAAAGCAGCAUCAGUAGCUAAUGUGGAGUCCUGCUGUAGCUGGACUCAGCUUCAUUUCCUACACCCUGGUGCAAGCACAGUCUUCCCUUGUUCCUCCUGACUGCACACUAGAAAUGGACCUGAAGUGUUCCCUGAGGAACAGCAUGAAGUCCUCAUAUAGGACCCCAUUCCCUGUCACCGUGUGUUAAAAAAGGGGUGGCCCUUUUCUGGCCACACUAAAAACCAAAGCAGAACCAAAGUUCUGCUCUUGCAAAUGGUGAUAAAAUUUUAAACUAUGCCCUGGUUUAGACAUGGAUUUUUUCUCUACAGAGAAAGAGCUAAAAGAUUGUGGCCAGAAGCUACUCAAGCCUAACACAGCUCUAGACUUGAGAAAAAACUCUGUGGAUUUUUCAAGAUUCUUUCUCCUGGCUAGAGCUGGAAAUAAACCCUAGGUGACAGUAUUCACACUCCAGUUUUAUGUAGGCUGUGAGUGAGAUAAAGAAAUGGGUGAAAAUAUGCAGCUUUCUUAAGGGUUUACUUAGAUUAUAUUUAAGUGUGUUAACACUGUAAAUAGUAAUCUAAGGCCUUAGAAAUAUUUUUUAUUUCUUAGUAUUUUUGCUUUGCAUAUAGCAAAUGGAAGAAGAAGGGGGAAACUGCACUACAUCACAGAAUACUAUUCAUCACAACCAAAAUACUUUACUUAGAGGCCAAACUCCUAACCAUUAUGCCACAUUUCCUUAAAUGGCUUACAAGGGUGACUUGGAAGUAGGUGAUCAUGUUUGCCUGAAGAAAAUGACCUAGUAUUCUUGGAAACUUGAGAGUAGCAAUUCCUUUAUCUGCAGUAGUACCUGUAGUUUUUAAUAAGUGAUAAAAUAUUUCAGAAGGCUGGAAGACUCUUCUUAUAUUUCUAGAAGAUUAACAAAAGUCUUUAGAGGAAGAAAAGGGAAGUCUGAUUUUUUUCCCCAUCCUGAGGAAGAUAGAACUUUGUAGCAAAAUACCAAAGUUCAUCUAAUUCCAUUACUUCCUUGCAUUUUCUGAUUUUUUUUGUUUUCCAGCUGCAUUUAUAUGUGUGUAUAUAUAUUUAUAUAGAUACACAUGUAUAUACAUAUACAUAAAUAUAUGUACACAUAUAUAUAUACCCAGUUCAGGUCGAAAGGACUAUUUAAACACUUUUCAGGUAGGCAUCAAAAAAACCCAAAAGAGAUGAAACGCCCUCAACUGUUUAGAAAAUGUUCUUAAAUGCCUUGUGUAGACUAUGUAGCUGUCUUUCAGGUAACUGAGAUUGGGCAAAGUUCAAAACAUUUAAGGAGCAAAGUUUUCAAUUUCAGUUGUGGGUAUUGCUUUCAUUAAAAGCUACAGAUUGUGUAUAUCAUGUCAUAUCAUUAAUUAAAUUGUGCAGAGCUGAGAAGAGCAAGGCAUGAGGCAUAUGCUAGUCCUUGGAGUUUGAGGUAGGCCUGUUCUGUGCCCAAUGCUCUGUUGUUGAGCAAGAGGUUGAAAAGUGGAUGUAGAGAAGCCUGGCCCAAUGCAUAAGAGCUUUGCUGUGAGCAGACCAUUCAAGGCUUCACUUUGAGCUCCUCAUGCAUCCCAUUCACCUUGUGGAAAUUGGCCUAUGGAAUUUCCCAGGAGUGAAUUUUCUGUACUUCUGUAACUUCUGCUAAUUCUUUCCUCUGAUGGCUUUGUUUUUAAAUUGGUUGUUUAGUAAAUAAAUAGGAUUUACUUAGGAGAAGGCACUUCCCUUGAUAACUAUGAACAGUUUUAAAAGGGAGAUUAGACACUUCUCUCUGUUUGAGCACUGAAGACAUACUUUCGUUUUUAGAAGUACUGACAGCCUGCAGCUUUCACUAGUCUCAGGUUUGGGUUCUCAAAAACCAGGAGUCAUGACUGGCAUAAAAGGUGUAAAUAUCCUGACCCAAACCAGCUUUUUUGUACUUCAUGUCUUGCAUCUUUAUACAGAUACUGUUGAAAUUAAUGUGUUACAGAUUUUUGAGACAGCAAGCUAGUACUAAUGAAAGUUCAAGAAGUACUGAAAAUGAAUAUAUCACACAAAUGUUUCACUAUUAGCUGGAAUUACAGCUGAAGUGAGCCUCCUUUAUUUUUCUAAAAGCAUCCCUAAUAGCUGGGAUGUGUUGCUGUAGUCAUGCACUAUAAUGAUAGCCUACAAAACAGGUAAGUAAAUGAGGAGGUAGAUUGUGUAAGUAUGUACAUUUCUCUCAAGAUAGGUAGAAUUAAAUGUUGGAGAAUACUAGCCUGAAGCUAGUAGACAUAAGACACUAUAGACCAUACCAGCAAUAAGGAAAGCUCUCAGUAACUCCUGGUCCUUACUUAUGAGUUCUGUAGGUAUAUCUGUAACCCCUCUGCAGCAUCUAAGUUUGGGUGUCCAAUCUCUCCUUAUAACACUGAUACAGAGAUAAAUGUUUAGCUAGGGCUGAAUCUAGCCUUUAGGCUGUAUCCUGAACUCUCUUUUCUGUCAAAGUCAAAUAAUAUUUUUAGCUUUUAUUGACCUGAUGAUCUAACUCCACUCAGCAUUUGUUUCUGGCCAAAUACACUGCUCCCCAUCUAGGUCUAAACUGACUUACCAAAGAAGUUGUGUUCUUCAGGCAUGAAAUGGGUUUUUAUUACUGAGGUCCACAGUGCAGAUCAUUGGAAGUUAUGUAAUAAUAUGAAAGGACAUAUAAUUGAAAGGCUGUCAGAAGAUAAAAGGAUAUCAAGCUUCCCAGAGCAUUCACAUUUCAACUCCUGAAGCGGGCUGACAUUGAAAGAGCGAUUCAGUGUUCAGUGCUGGCCCCUCUGGUAGCCGCUCUGCUCCUCCUCACUGCUGCCUGUUGAAACAUCACAGAGUCUGCAGCAUAGAAUUUAAUACAGGAGUUUUCCAUUAAAGACAUUAGCUGUUGCAUUUCACUGUUACUUCUAGCUCAACUCACCUGCUAGGGACACAGUACUUUGUCCUUGAAUAGGCAGGAUUGCCUUCAUCCUGUUCUUCCCACUGGAGCAGCGAGAAGUAGCGUGUGAGUACAUACUGAGCAAUGCACAACAAGUGAGUAACUGCAAUACAGGCAUAUAUUAUUCUUGGAUUUGUUUUAAAUGUCAAGCAAUAAUACAUGGGAAGUAAAAGUAAGUCUUUAACUAUCCUGACAUUCUCCUAAAUGUAAAAAACCGUAAGAGAUGCCUGUAUUUACUACAAAUAAUAAAACUGGAGUGUUCCGCUAAUCAAAUUCAAAUCAGUUCAACUGCAUAAUUUUCAGUGAAUAGGUGCUUAUAAAACACAGAAUGAACUCCAGAAGGGAAGGUUCAUUGCUUCCUAAUCAAAAGCAGUCAGCUUUAAACACCAGCCAGUCAGGUGAUAGGUUUGUCAUUUCUCAGCUGUGCUCUUGGAGGGAAUUUGCCAGGAAGGCUUGAAAGCUUUUAAACUUCACAGAGCAUUUUUUUACCUGUUUUUGAACAUCAUGUUGAGCUACAAAAAAACUGGGAGACUGGGAGGAGAGGCAGAAUAACAGCAGUUCUAUUAAAAUAUAUUUGCUGCAAUGAGUGUCAAGCAGAGUUUAUGGUGCAAAAAAACAAUUCCUGAAAAGAAAUUUUGACCCCCGUCGGGUCUGAUUCUUUCUUGUCUAAUGGUGUCCAGCUACUUUGGGGACUGAGGAGUGACGGUGAUUAAUUGCCUGGAUGUUGGAGAAAUAAAGGCUCAUAAUGCAUCAUUAAAACUAAAAAUCAGGGUGUCUGAACUAUCAUGGGAAGCUUAAAAUUAAUAUAUUACUGCUAUGUACAAUUAACAGUCCAAGUCAGAAAUCAUUUGCUUUCAUAAUUUAGAACAAUGGCAGCUCUCCAGUGAAAACUUAUUUACAGUAGUUUUACAUUGCUUUCUAGAGGCUUAGUACAAAAGGGAGAGACAAAAAAUUAAUAUGCACCAAGGCAGUUAAAGAGAAACCUGGCUUUGAACUGUUCUUUCAUUUUAAUCAGCAUGAGCUCUGCUAAAUCGGGAAAAGAAUUAUGAGUAGGUGGCUAGCAACUAGGUUACUGAGGGCAAAUCACUCUCAGGGGAAUAAUUUUGCAAUCUGAGCAACAGAGUCUGAUCUGUGCAUGACUUGGGCUGAACAGGUCUUCUCUGUUUUAACCCAGCAUCAACAUCAGUUGUAAGGUGGCCAACCUGAAGUCCCUCAUCCAAAUUCCCCAACAUGAAAGUCUGUUCUCCCCUCCAAUGGCAAUUGUACCACUGUGCUAGAAGAAUUUUUCAGUGUCUUCUAUUUUCCAAUGUCUUUCUAAUGUUGUUCUAGUGUUUUCUAUUUCACAUCCUCAGCUUUGGGACCUCAUACAUGUUUUAGUAAUUUUUGGUAUUGGUUGAAGUCCCAUUAAGCUUCUUAAAUUCUUAAACAGCUUCUUGGAGGGAUUUUGUUGGAUUUUUUUUUCUUGUAACUUAGGUUAUAAAAGUAGCACCAUAAACAUUAAUUGAAGAGCCAUUAAGCAGUAGGGCUGUUUGUUUUGGGUUGAUAGAGGACAUAAAACUUCAUACCCUGUGGUGAAAAACAAUUAGAUCUGGUGAUGAACAUGCUAUUAAAUAUACCGUUACCAAACUUCUAUCAGUUUAACUUUAGAAAAACCAGCUGUAGUCAAAGCAUACACAAAGGAUAGAGAGUCAUAUUUUAACUGUCAUGUCAUAGCCUGUUAUAAAUAUUGUCAUUUCUAAUGUUUUAUGCUAAUGACAGUGACUAAUAGUAGUCAUUACCUCUGUUCAUUCUCAUAAAAAUUUUCUCUAGAGAAUACGAUCACAGCUAGAGUGCUGUUUAAAAUUAAGUUUUGUUUUUCUAAAAUAGAUAACAUAAAAAUAUUUAAAUACCGAGAGGUUUGUUAACUAUUUUAUUUUGUAAUAGCAUGUGUUUGACAACUACAGCUUUUGUUAAUUGUGCUAUAAGUUGAACAGAUAUCCCUUUCAGAGACAUUUCUGGCAUGCUAGUGUGUGCCAUGUCUCUGGUCUCUGAGCAAUGGAGUAAAAGGUGAAUCUCACAGAAGCCAUAAAAAAAGUCUGAUGCUACCCCUGUGGAGGCUUAAUAUUAGGAACAUUGAAUUUUCUCAUCCAUUUCUUAUUUCAGUUAUGAAUUCUGCUUACUUGACAGGUACAGAGUACUUCAUUAUGUGCAUGAACAGAAAUGCUUAAAUGGAUGAAGCAGCUAUUUAUGUCUGAUAGGAGCUAAGUGGGACAUUAAAUUAAUGCCAAACAAGUGAGUGCUCAUUUUAGUUUUGUUAUAAAUGGCUGCAGCACAGCAGUAAUGUGUUGACUCUUAUGUGCUGACAAGUUCUAUAUUUCUUACAAACUUCCCUUAGAGCUCGUCGUGGAAAGACAAAUUCACACUCUGCAUGAUGAAAUUAGCAGCAGAUGCAUUAAUAAUUGAAUAAGGAUCUCUGGAGACACACCACAGCUCAGAAAGAGAGUUGUUGACUGGCUGGUUUAAGUAGAGGCUUCUGUUCUUAUAUAUAUGCACUUACAUAAGCCAUGAGUUAAGAGCUAGUGCCUGUAUGUAGCCUUUGAUAUCAAAUCCACUUCCUGCUCUUAGAAGACUUUGCAUAGUUACAUUUGACAGGUCCACGAGCAGACUGACAACUAAAUCUGGGCAGAGCAUGGCCUUGCUCAUUCCUCCUUCUCUCUGACUGUUAUUAAACUUCAAGGCAAAAUGAAUGCAGUUUCUUCAGAAAUCAUCUCCAGACAAUGAGUGGGAUAUGAGUGACUUUUACUGUAUGCCAGACCCUUGUCAUGGACCUCCAUUUCUAUAGGGUUUAAAGUUUCCAGCAGUGCAAAUCCCAGCUUCUCUCACAGAAGGAUUAGGAUACUGACAUCUUCCUUUCCAGCAAACGUGAUGCUCUUUGAUUUAUCCACAUGCCCAGGUUUGAGAGGGAAGCAAUUUCACAGAAUCACAAAGAGACCACAGUGAGCCACCUGAUCCCACUUCCCUUCUCAAGAAGGCCCAUCCUAGAGCACAUUACACAGGCUUGUGUCCAGAAAAUUCUUUAUAUCUCCAGUGAGGGAGACUCCACAACCUCUCUGGACAAUCUGUUGCAGUGCUCAGUCACAGCAAAAAGUUUAAAGAUUUAAAAGAUUUAAGAGGUUCUUCCUCAUAUUCAGGUGGAAUUUCCUGUGCAUUAGUUUCUGCCCAUUGUGUCUUGUUGUACUGCUCAGCACCACUGAGCACAGUCUGGAAACAUUCUCUUGACACUCUCCCUUCAGAUGCUGAUAGACACUGAUGUGUUCCCUUCUCAGUCACCUCUUCUUGAGGCUCAACCAGCCCAGCUCCCUCAGCCUAUCCUUGUAGGAGAGAUGCUCCAACCCCUUAAUCAUCUUUGUUCCCCUCCACUGGACCCACUCCAGGAGCUCCCUGUCUCUACUGUACUGAGGAGCCCAGAACUGGACACAGCACUCCAGAUGUGGCUUCACCAGGGCUGAGUAGAGAGGCAGGAUCCCCUCCCUCAACCUGCCCUUCCUGAUGUACCCCAGGAUACCAUCAGCCUUCUGGGCCACGAGGGUACAUUGCCAGCUCAAUUUUUGUCUUUUGUUCAAUAGCAAAGAAAGCAAGAGGAUUGACAGAAAAAUGCCUCUGCUUUUGAAAGAUACCACCAAGUCUUUGAUGUAAUUUUUACUAGUUACUUUGCAAUCACACCAAAUAAUAUUUUCCUCAGAGGAUAUUGACUAAAUAGUGUGAUAUUUCAUCCACAGCAAUACUAUUGGAGCAAAUUCUUCAGAGUUUAAAACCAGAACAUUUUUGCACUAUUGCCAAGAGAGUGAUAGUAAUUUGAGUAGUCCAAAAAUUUGUUCCGGUUUGAAGAAAGCCAAGAUUUAGCACAGUAUUACUAGAUUAACUCCACAAAGCUCUCCUAACUGUGCAUGCAAACUUCAGCUGCUGGUUUUGAGCACAGGUGGAAUUGAUCUCUGUAUUUUGCUUUCCUCACGGUUAUUUUAUAAAUCUCAGGAUCUGUAAGAAAAAUUUACCUUCAAAAUAUCUAUCAGUGUAUUUCUGGAGUUUCAUCAGCUAAAGAAAUGCUAAUUCUAAUCUUAGAUUUUAAAUAUAUUGCAAUAUUUUGCAUAAACUAAAAAAUCAUUUAAUAAAGUGGUACUGCCUUUAAAGCAAUACUCAAGAUUCAAUUGUCUUUAAAACAAUACUUCAAUUCCUUCUAUUUAGAUAUGCAAUUAUUUUAUUCAAUAACAGUGCAUAUAUUAUUUAUUCAGUAAGAAUUUGGUAUGAAUCUCAUCAUAAUGGAAGCAUGGAAUUUGAGAUCUUUUUAGUAUGAGAGACAUUUAAACAGUUUCUGUUGUCGCUUGAAAUAAGAUUUAAGUCCCAGAGAUUUAUAUUUGCAUAAUGAAGUAUUGUCUCAAUCUAAAUCACAGAAUCACUAGGUUGGAAGAGAUCUUGAACCCAUGCCCUAACACCUCAACUAACCCAUGGCUCCAAGUGCCACAUCCAGAUACUCUGAAACACUCUGCAAGUGGCUCAGCUGAGGAAAGAAUAGUACAUAUUUUGCUUUGUGAUAUUGAACCACAAUGCAGAUAUUAAGAGAUCAGAGACAAUCAGGUGAAGGAGUAAGCAUGCCAAAAUGAUACCCUGGUUUCAGCAUCACGCCUUCUUUGGAGUGCUUGGAAUAAAGAUGUGAAAAUUGGAUUUACAUAAACUUUUUAGUCAAUAGAGCUACCAUUUCAGAAUUAAUAUUUUUGUUUGAUUCACACAUGUAUAAAACAUUUCACUGCUGUUUAAAAAAAGUAAUCUUACCAUCAUCUGAGUUUUUAAGGAAAAGACUAAGUACUCAAACAAGGUCAUGACCUGCUAGAUGAAAGGAAUAUACAUGAGUUGCAUAGACCAAAGAGGAAUAAAGAGACUGCAUUGACGGGGGCGGAGGGAGAGAGAUCACGAGUCAUUAACCAUGGCUUUAUGCUUCACAUCUCUCUACAGUGGGUUUAAUCCUAUUAACUGAUUUCCAUUUGUUCUGUUAUUUCUAUGGAAUAAGAUCCUAAGUCUUCUCCAGGUCAGAAAUGAAUAUUAUGCAGUCCAAUAACUUUUAUACGUAUUGUUAGCAUAUGUAAGGCGCAUCAGUGGCACCAAUGUUUAUUCUUAACAUCGGAAGUAUUCACCAAAUUUCACAACUCUGGCAGUUAUCACUUCUGUAAAAGUGACAAGAUAUUUCUAAAGCCUUCUAGUGAGUGAGUAAACCAAUGGGGUUUAUCCAUGUUUUGCAGGUCACUGGAUGUUCAGAAGAGCAAAGCAAAUGAAAAGAACCCCUUCCCUUUUUCUAUCACAGUAAUUUUGCACUUGAGUAUAUGAGCAUUUGCUAAUAUAAAAGCUAUUGAGGAAGAUAUGAAGGAAACUUCUUCUAACACGGCCUUAUAAGGUAGAAAUAAAUGUUGCAUUUCAAAUCACAAGUCUCCUUGAAAUUUUAUUUCAUUUUAAAAGGCAUCUUGAGCACCAAUUUUUUUGUUUCUGGUGACUUACAAUCAAACAAAUCCACUUAAAUUGAAAACAGAGUUUUCUAAUUGUCAUCCUGUAACCUCAGCCUGAAGAUCAAGUAGCUACAUUUUGAUUUUGUCUUAUCACUAGUGUUGAUAUUUGUACAGGACAUAAAAUUUUUACCCCUUGUACAUUGCCCUUCUAUCCUUCAUGAUCUUCCUCAGUUGUCCCCUUCUGUUAUUGUUGCUGUUGUUAUUAUUAUCAUUAUCAUUACUAUGUUUCUUCGAAUAUUUGCCCAGAUAUUGUUUAGGUGCAUCCUUUUUUUUGGAAAAAGUUAGCAAGUCUGUUAGUACUCCAUGCACCUAUUUGUACUUCUCUACAAAUUACCCAAAAGAAUAAAUGUUUCCUUAGACUCAAUAUGUGAAAUAAGGGGAGGGGGUGAAAGAAAAAUAUCCUCUUUUUUAACAUACUUUUCUGAACUUGAACACGGUUGUGGAGAAACUGGUAUAUGCUGUACCCUCCAUAAGGACUCUGAGAGAGCACAAGUUAUAGGAAUGGCCAACACAACUGAAGCAGAGUAAGAUACUGCAGCAGCAAAUUAUUGCAGAGUAUCAGUUCUUUCCUCAGGAGCUCUUGAAUGGCAGACUAAGCAUGGAGAGUGUCCAUAGAGAGUUCUUGUCUACUCUGUUCAAGCAAAACAAAUAUACAGGGGUGAAGUCACUGUGCAUUUCCUGAUUAUCCUCUGAGAGCUGUGAUAGCUGUGCUGAGUUGGCAGGGCCAAAAACUCAACACAGAAGUCUCCGCAGAAUGCACUUGAUUUCUUUGUAGCCCACUCUGAUAAGAGGAAGGCCAGGUGUUUCCAUAUAUUCUCUGUAAACCUUCUUUGAAUUUAAUAAAUUGGAUGGGAUGCCAAUCACACAGAAUGAUCCAAGCUUUUGAAUAAAAUUAUACCAUUUCAUUCAUCCCAGUAAGUAAUCCCAUUAUUCUACUUCUCCUGCUAUUUGAGAAAGUAGGACCUGUUCUUUGAAUGUCCCAUAUGAGAAGUGCAGCCUUUUCUGAUCACAGACAAAGCUGGGUAUUUUACUAGUUUUUCCAUUUUAAUUUCCAGUCUACUGAAAGAAACUUCCCUCUCCCAUCAUGGUUUUUUGGAUUCCCUAGCAUUUAUCAAGCCAAUUAGUGUUGUCCGGUUUCUUGCUUCUCUUCUGUCUCUCUGAUAAUGCAGAGAUAAUGCACAGGAUAUCUCCUGACCGAAAUAAAAAUGACUAGUUUGAACUUCCCUAUGCAAAAAUGUCUAAAAUUGAGCAAUAACUUAACACCUGCAGUUCCAAAGUCUUCCAUAUUGCACAAUGGACAUUUAAUUUUCCUUUAAAGAAAUGUGUAACAUGCUGGGGGGUGUGGGUUGGAAGCAGAGAUGACACACACUCCCAAGUUCUUGUGACAAACAGCCUUGAGUUUAUUCCCACAGCUCCUUUUAUAGGAGCUCCAAUUGCACGCAUGAUUUGUUGAGGUCUUAGCCCCUCCAGCUGUCUGGCCAGUGAUACAUCUGCAUUUAGGGCUGAAUGACAUUUGGCUGGAGGUCCCUCUGUAGAUUUGAAUCCUACCUAUCCUUGCUCACCCAAGGACUCCAAUGCUACAGAAAUGGACUUCUUCAAGGCCUCUUUUAGGAGCAGAUUUCCCACUGCUGAAACAGUAAACUCAGUUUUGUCUUUCAGAGAGUCUUUGGAAAUGCUUCUCUCCCACGUAGCUGCAGUUUCCUGUCCUUUCUGUUACCUACCUUUGCUAAUCAUAGCUCCUGUGGAGUUGAUAUUUGUUCAGAGGUUUCUGCAACCUAAAAAUGCCAGUCUUCAUGGGGCGUGAAGAAAAUUAAGAAGACAGAACCAGUAAAUUUUGGUUACAAUCCUAAUCCAAGAUGGAAAUUCAAUCCAUGCACUUUCAUCUUCCUGUAAAGUAAUAUUUAAUACUCAUCUCCAUAGUUAUAUUUGGAUGCUCUGAAUAUCUCCUCUAAUGUACUUCUAAACUUGUCAUUUUAAGAUAUAAAACCUUUUUGAACAUAGAUGAUACAGUAAAGACUUUCUAAAGAUAAUUACAAGUUCAAAGACUUCAGUUAGGGCAGAAAUUCCUCAGUACAAGCAAAUGGAUCCUCUUAGUCACUGGAUAAAUGCACGAAGAAAGUUAGAAAGGCUGGAAUCUCAAGAUGGAAUUUGGAAACACCAAGCAAGAUGGAAUACUUUUUUUCUCUGAAAAAUAAAAAGCUGUGUGCCUUGGAGGCUGCCUAGCAGGGAUAACUGAAAUUUAGGCAAGGAACAAGGAUAUUGUGCUUACACAACAGUGCUUGCAUAGAAAUUACCCAUAGAGACCCAAGGAGUACAAGGUGCCUCAAAAUC